RNAcentral lists this ribosomal RNA (505 nucleotides) under Coleomegilla maculata strenua. RNAcentral's name for it is "partial 16S ribosomal RNA". It matches the Rfam family "Bacterial large subunit ribosomal RNA", at positions 1831 to 2600 of the family's 2925-position model. Lineage: Eukaryota; Metazoa; Arthropoda; Insecta; Coleoptera; Coccinellidae. The record is from RNAcentral.
UUUUAGAAUAUAAUUUGAAGUAGGGCCUGCCCMCUGAUUUAUUGAAGGGCCGCAGUAUUUUGACUGUGCGAAGGUAGCAUAAUCAUUAGUUUUUUAAUUGAAAGCUUGUAUGAAUGGUUUGAUGAGGGAACGACUUUCUUUUUCUAAAUUUUUAAAACUUUAUUUUUAAGUUAAAAAGCUUAAAUUUUUAUAAAAGACGAGAAGACCCUAUAGAGUUUAAAUAUUAAAACUUUAUUAAUAUAAAGAAUUAAAUUAUUUUUAUUGUUUAAAUAUUUUGAUUGGGGUGAUUGAAAAAUAAGAAAAACUUUUUUUACAUUAAAACAUUAAUUUAUGAAAAUUUGAUCCAUUAAAUUGAUUAAAAGAAUAAAUUACCUUAGGGAUAACAGCGUUAUUUUUUUUUAGAGUUCUUAUCGAAAAAAAAGAUUGCGACCUCGAUGUUGGAUUAAAGUUAAUUUUAGGUGUAGAAGCUUAAAAAUUUAGUCUGUUCGACUAUUAAAACUUUACA